This 45-nucleotide non-coding RNA is filed under the name Trichobilharzia regenti. The record is from RNAcentral. Lineage: Eukaryota; Metazoa; Platyhelminthes; Trematoda; Strigeidida; Schistosomatidae.
AUCCAGCUGACGAUUGCUAAAUAGGACGAAAUGCGCAUCCUGGAU